RNAcentral lists this ribosomal RNA (253 nucleotides) under uncultured bacterium. Its description in RNAcentral is "partial 16S ribosomal RNA". It matches the Rfam family "Bacterial small subunit ribosomal RNA", at positions 524 to 776 of the family's 1533-position model. The record is from RNAcentral.
UACGAAGGGUGCAAACGUUGCUCGGAAUUAUUGGGCGUAAAGCGCACGUAGGCGGCAUUGCAAGUCGGAUGUGAAAUCUUAUGGCUUAACCAUAAAAGUGCAUCCGAAACUGCAGUGCUUGAGUACUUAAGAGGAUCGCGGAAUUCCCGGUGUAGAGGUGAAAUUCGUAGAUAUCGGGAGGAACACCAGUGGCGAAGGCGGCGAUCUGGGAAGAUACUGACGCUGAGAUGCGAAAGCGUGGGGAGCGAACGGG